RNAcentral lists this transfer RNA (72 nucleotides) under Ovis aries (sheep). It matches the Rfam family "tRNA". Rfam says of the family: Transfer RNA (tRNA) molecules are approximately 80 nucleotides in length. Their secondary structure includes four short double-helical elements and three loops (D, anti-codon, and T loops). Lineage: Eukaryota; Metazoa; Chordata; Mammalia; Artiodactyla; Bovidae. The record is from Rfam by way of RNAcentral.
UCCCUGGUAGCUUGGAGGGUAAAGCGUUUGCCUAUGAUGCGGGAGACCCGGGUUCGAUCCCUGGGUAAGGAA